This 259-nucleotide ribosomal RNA is filed under the name uncultured prokaryote. RNAcentral describes it as "partial 16S ribosomal RNA". It matches the Rfam family "Bacterial small subunit ribosomal RNA", at positions 524 to 782 of the family's 1533-position model. The record is from RNAcentral.
UACGGAGGAUCCGAGCGUUAUCCGGAAUUAUUGGGUUUAAAGGGUGCGUAGGCGGCUUUUUAAGUCAGCGGUGAAAUUUUGCAGCUUAACUGUAACAGUGCCGUUGAUACUGGGGAGCUAGGAUUUGGUUGCUGUUGGUGGAAUGUGUGGUGUAGCGGUGAAAUGCUUAGAGAUCACACAGAAUAUCGAUUGCGAAGGCAGCUCACAAAGCCAAGAUUGACGCUGAGGCACGAAAGCGUGGGGAUCAAACAGGAUUAGA